This 253-nucleotide ribosomal RNA is filed under the name uncultured bacterium. Its description in RNAcentral is "partial 16S ribosomal RNA". It matches the Rfam family "Bacterial small subunit ribosomal RNA", at positions 524 to 776 of the family's 1533-position model. The record is from RNAcentral.
UACAGAGGGUGCGAGCGUUGUCCGGAAUCACUGGGCGUAAAGGGCGCGUAGGCGGCUCAGUAAGGUUGCGGUGAAAGCCCGGGGCUCAACCCCGGGUCGGCCGUGGCAACUGCUGGGCUGGAGCACUGUAGAGGCAGGUGGAAUUCCGGGUGUAGCGGUGGAAUGCGUAGAGAUCCGGAAGAACACCGGUGGCGAAGGCGGCGACCUGGUCCUUGACUGACGCUGAGGCGCGAAAGCGUGGGGAGCAAACAGG